CCAUCCAUGGAACCCAUUAUGUGAGGUUGUGGAGAUCUUUUUGUGAGUUGAGGGUGGUAGCUAGGGACCUAUAUGACAUGUACAGGAGAGAGCUAGCCAGACAAUUGAAUGGCACUUGGAUCUAGAGGUUUGGAGUAUAUCUGAGAGUUAGCUUGUUCAUAUAAAAAAUUACGUGAGGUCGUCUUCCCACCAGAUCUGUAUUAAAUAUAGAGGUAUGGACCUCGCAGCUAUCUAUUAGUGUUGUAAGUUAGGGGAGGAGACAGUGGGGCAUGUUCUGCUCUC
RNAcentral lists this long non-coding RNA (282 nucleotides) under Elaeis guineensis (African oil palm). Its description in RNAcentral is "long non-coding RNA (EGUI_LNC062523)". The record is from RNAcentral. Lineage: Eukaryota; Viridiplantae; Streptophyta; Magnoliopsida; Arecales; Arecaceae.